AGAGUUUGAUCCUGGCUCAGAUUGAACGCUGGCGGCAGGCUUAACACAUGCAAGUCGAGCGGUAGUACAGGGGAGCUUGCUCCCUGGGUGACGAGCGGCGGACGGGUGAGUAAUGUCUGGGAAACUGCCUGAUGGAGGGGGAUAACUACUGGAAACGGUAGCUAAUACCGCAUAACGUCGCAAGACCAAAGAGGGGGACCUUCGGGCCUCUUGCCAUCAGAUGUGCCCAGAUGGGAUUAGCUAGUAGGUGGGGUAAUGGCUCACCUAGGCGACGAUCCCUAGCUGGUCUGAGAGGAUGACCAGCCACACUGGAACUGAGACACGGUCCAGACUCCUACGGGAGGCAGCAGUGGGGAAUAUUGCACAAUGGGCGCAAGCCUGAUGCAGCCAUGCCGCGUGUGUGAAGAAGGCCUUCGGGUUGUAAAGCACUUUCAGCGAGGAGGAAGGUGGUGAACUUAAUACGUUCAUCAAUUGACGUUACUCGCAGAAGAAGCACCGGCUAACUCCGUGCCAGCAGCCGCGGUAAUACGGAGGGUGCAAGCGUUAAUCGGAAUUACUGGGCGUAAAGCGCACGCAGGCGGUUUGUUAAGUCAGAUGUGAAAUCCCCGGGCUCAACCUGGGAACUGCAUUUGAAACUGGCAAGCUAGAGUCUCGUAGAGGGGGGUAGAAUUCCAGGUGUAGCGGUGAAAUGCGU
RNAcentral lists this ribosomal RNA (694 nucleotides) under uncultured bacterium. Its description in RNAcentral is "bacterial SSU rRNA". It matches the Rfam family "Bacterial small subunit ribosomal RNA", at positions 8 to 691 of the family's 1533-position model. The record is from RNAcentral.